UUGCGCAAUGGGCGAAAGCCUGACGCAGCAACGCCGCGUGGGGAUGAAGGCUCUCGGGUUGUAAACCCCUUUCAGCAGGGACGAAAAUGACGGUACCUGCAGAAGAAGCCCCGGCAACUACGUGCCAGCAGCCGCGGUAACACGUAGGGGGCGAGCGUUGUCCGGAUUUAUUGGGCGUAAAGAGCUCGUAGGCGGCUCGGUAAGUCGGGUGUGAAAUUUCAGGGCUCAACCCUGAAACGCCACCCGAUACUGCCGUGGCUAGGGUCCGGUAGGGGAGCGUGGAAUUCCUGGUGUAGCGGUGAAAUGCGCAGAUAUCAGGAGGAACACCAGCGGCGAAGGCGGCGCUCUGGGCCGGUACUGACGCUGAGGAGCGAAAGCGUGGGGAGCGAACAGGAUUAGAUACCCUGGUAGUCCACGCCGUAAACGUUGGGCACUAGGUGUGGGACGCUGUCAACGCGUUCCGUGCCGAAGCUAACGCAUUAAGUGCCCCGCCUGGGGAGUACGGCCGCAAGGCUA
This 516-nucleotide ribosomal RNA is filed under the name uncultured Actinomycetes bacterium. RNAcentral describes it as "bacterial SSU rRNA". It matches the Rfam family "Bacterial small subunit ribosomal RNA", at positions 364 to 896 of the family's 1533-position model. Lineage: Bacteria; Bacillati; Actinomycetota; Actinomycetes. The record is from RNAcentral.